This is a long non-coding RNA of Symphalangus syndactylus (siamang), 472 nucleotides long. RefSeq lists it as uncharacterized. The record is from RefSeq and is a predicted model, not a curated record. NCBI's taxonomy places the organism in Eukaryota, Metazoa, Chordata, Mammalia, Primates, Hylobatidae.
CUCGCACCUGGUGGGUCUUGAGUUCUCACCCCUGAGGCCGCCACAAGGGGGCGGGGCGUGCCUCCUCACAAGAGAGAACCAGAGACCGCCCCCGGAGGAUAAUGUAAUCACCUCAAGGCAAGGUACUUCUACAGAAGGGUAUACCCUUACAGAUGGAGCAAUGAUGUGCCUUGCUUCCCCUUAACCUUCCACUAUGACUGUAAGUUUCCUGAGGCCUCUUCAGCCAUGCAGAACCGUUUUGUUGAUUGAAGAACACAGAUGUGUGCAGCAACAGGGUUCCAUCAUGAUCUGCUGCAGCAAUCCUCAUGCGGGGCACCACCUGUCGAGUCUGUACCUCAGACUCUUGCCAAGUGAUGGAUGGAAGAAGUUCGCUGACACAGCAGGUGGGAGCAUUCUUCAAGUUUCUAAGAGGAGGUUAUAAAAUGGGCACCUUAGUGGGAAGGCAUGCAGUGUAGUUCAAGAUUCAACCAGC